This 495-nucleotide ribosomal RNA is filed under the name uncultured bacterium. RNAcentral describes it as "partial 16S ribosomal RNA". It matches the Rfam family "Bacterial small subunit ribosomal RNA", at positions 28 to 507 of the family's 1533-position model. The record is from RNAcentral.
GACGAACGCUGGCGGCGUGCCUAAUACAUGCAAGUAGAACGCUGAAGGAGGAGCUUGCUUCUCUGGAUGAGUUGCGAACGGGUGAGUAACGCGUAGGUAACCUGCCUGGUAGCGGGGGAUAACUAUUGGAAACGAUAGCUAAUACCGCAUAAUAGUAGAUGUUGCAUGACAUUUGCUUAAAAGGUGCAAUUGCAUCACUACCAGAUGGACCUGCGUUGUAUUAGCUAGUUGGUGGGGUAACGGCUCACCAAGGCGACGAUACAUAGCCGACCUGAGAGGGUGAGCGGCCACACUGGGACUGAGACACGGCCCAGACUCCUACGGGAGGCAGCAGUAGGGAAUCUUCGGCAAUGGACGGAAGUCUGACCGAGCAACGCCGCGUGAGUGAAGAAGGUUGUCGGAUCGUAAAGCUCGGUUGUAAGAGAAGAACGAGUGUGAGAGUGGAAAGUUCACACUGUGACGGUAUCUUACCAGAAAGGGACGGCUAACUACGUG